GAUGAACGCUGGCGGCGUGCCUAAUACAUGCAAGUCGAGCGAACGGACGAGAAGCUUGCUUCUCUGAUGUUAGCGGCGGACGGGUGAGUAACACGUGGAUAACCUACCUAUAAGACUGGGAUAACUUCGGGAAACCGGAGCUAAUACCGGAUAAUAUUUUGAACCGCAUGGUUCAAAAGUGAAAGACGGUCUUGCUGUCACUUAUAGAUGGAUCCGCGCUGCAUUAGCUAGUUGGUAAGGUAACGGCUUACCAAGGCAACGAUGCAUAGCCGACCUGAGAGGGUGAUCGGCCACACUGGAACUGAGACAAGGUCCAGACUACUACGGGAGGCAGCAGUAGGGAAUCUUCCGCAAUGGGCGAAAGCCUGACGGAGCAACGCCGCGUGAGUGAUGAAGGUCUUCGGAUCGUAAAACUCUGUUAUUAGGGAAGAACAUAUGUGUAAGUAACUGUGCACAUCUUGACGGUACCUAAUCAGAAAGCCACGGCUAACUACGUG
RNAcentral lists this ribosomal RNA (497 nucleotides) under uncultured bacterium. Its description in RNAcentral is "partial 16S ribosomal RNA". It matches the Rfam family "Bacterial small subunit ribosomal RNA", at positions 28 to 507 of the family's 1533-position model. The record is from RNAcentral.